CGGGAUGAGCUCAAAUUUAAAAUCUGGCGUCUUUCAGGCGUCCGAGUUGUAAUCUAUAGAGGCGUUUUCCGCGCCGGACCGCGUCCAAGUCUCUUGGAAUAGAGUAUCAAAGAGGGUGACAAUCCCGUACUUGACGCGACAACCGGUGCUCUGUGAUACGUUCUCAAUGAGUCGAGUUGUUUGGGAAUGCAGCUCUAAAUGGGUGGUAAAUUCCAUCUAAGGCUAAAUAUUGGCGAGAGACCGAUAGCGAACAAGUACCGUGAGGGAAAGAUGAAAAGCACUUUGGAAAGAGAGUUAAACAGCACGUGAAAUUGUUAAAAGGGAAACGAUUGAAGUCAGUCGUGUGAAAGGUAUUCAGCCGUCUCUGGCGGUGUAUUUGCCUUUCACGGGUCAACAUCAGUUUGAUCCGGUAGAAAAAGGCGGGAGGAAGGUGGCACCCUCGGGUGUGUUAUAGCC
Molecule: ribosomal RNA, 456 nt
Filed under: Vishniacozyma victoriae
Lineage: Eukaryota; Fungi; Basidiomycota; Tremellomycetes; Tremellales; Bulleribasidiaceae
Description: eukaryotic LSU rRNA
Rfam family: Eukaryotic large subunit ribosomal RNA
Source: RNAcentral